AGUUUAUAUGUCAGAAGAUUUUGAUUUCCAAGUAAAAUGAGGAAGUGAGCUUGUACUAUUUUUUCCUUCAAUCUAAAUAUGCUAAACUAUCUUUAUUUCUGGCGUUGGACAUUGUGUCAUAAACUGUCCAGGAAAAUCUGGCCGGCUGUCUGAUCUGAAAUUAGCAAAUCUAGCUGUGCUUUUCCUUCAGGAUGACAAAGCCGGAGAAGCUCAUAUUGCAUCACUUCGUCGAGGAGUUGAGUGUGAAAACAUGCUUCUGUGGUAGUUCAACUUUUCACUAGGAGUUGAGUGUGAAAACGUCCAGUUUAUCAUCUAACAUGAUGUUGGGCGAUUGGUUGCUGAAAAUGGAACUCUGAAUUUUUUUAAAGGAGAACUCUGAAGGUUAUUUGGCCUCAAAGUGGCCAUUACCACCCUACAAAGGAGUGUUUCAGAGCUUACUUAAAGAUAACUUGGUUGAUCUUAUUGAUGUAAAGAGAACGAUAAAUCUGUUUUGGAAUGGCUGAAAUGAGAACAUGUAAGACCACAUUAGUGCUGCAGAAUGAUUGGAGUGCCUCAAAUAUUGGGUGAAAAUACGGUGGCCUCGGGACUACGAGCCUACAUGUAAGGGAUGAAACCACCGCCUGCGGUCGCCUCCAUAAGUCACCCAUAGUGGCCUCUACAUACUUUAAGUUUUCUUAUUUUCUAUAACGGGAUAGAAGUGUAGGUAAAUAUAACCUUGCUGCCUAAUCGUUGGGCGUCAUUUUAUUUGCAAAAGCGAUUUCUUUUGUUAUUUACCUGAUUAGCUGUAUUACCCAACCCGCACAGCAUAAUUUCCUCUACAUCUACUUAGCAAAUGACUAAUUACAGAUAUAAUUUUGUGCUUCAGCAUCCAUUUUAGUAUUAGAUGGCCAAUCAUUGUUUUUCCUGACUAAUUAUCAAGUGCAUCACAAGUGUUAAAUAUGGGCAUCCAUUUUUAUAUCGUUUCUCUACAUAUAUGGUGGACUAAUUCCGUACAUGUGGACCGAUUCCUCUACGUCUGUUACUUCUUUUUAAUGACCGACAUUGCUUUGAUCUUUACAUUGUUUUGGUGUAUUGGUUGCUUUCGAAAAAUCAAACCAAUAAGAUUUCACAUAGUGACAUAUCUAUCGACGCAUCUUAACUGAAGGUUCGGUUGAGUGUAAUCUUCAGUUGGUGUAUUUUCAAAUUGACUACUGCAAGGUUUGUUGCUCUAUUUUUUAAACAUUUUUGUGGUGACUGGAUGUAAAUAAUUACAUUGUUACUGUGAUGGAACCAAAUACCACUUGCACCUACGUAUAUGUGUGAUGCUAUUCUGCACAUUAUGUAGCAUGUAAUAUUGGCCAAAUUUAAUAG
Lolium perenne is the source of this 1350-nucleotide non-coding RNA. Lineage: Eukaryota; Viridiplantae; Streptophyta; Magnoliopsida; Poales; Poaceae. The record is from RefSeq and is a predicted model, not a curated record.